AGGACGAACGCUGGCGGCGCGCUUAACACAUGCAAGUCGAGCGAGAACCAGGCCUUCGGGCCUGGGGAAAGCGGCGAACGGGUGAGUAACACGUGGGUAAUCUGCCCUCGACAUCGGGAUAGCCCGGGGAAACCCGGAUUAAUACCGAAUGGCCCAUCAGCUUUUCGAAGCCGGAUGGAAAAGGUAGCUUCGGCCUCCGGUCGAGGAGGAGCCCGCGGCGGAUUAGCUUGUUGGUGAGGUAACGGCUCACCAAGGCUUCGAUCCGUAGCUGGUCUGAGAGGACGAUCAGCCACACUGGGACUGAGACACGGCCCAGACUCCUACGGGAGGCAGCAGUGGGGAAUCUUGCGCAAUGGGCGAAAGCCUGACGCAGCGACGCCGCGUGAGGGAAGAAGGCCUUCGGGUUGUAAACCUCUUUCAGGAGGGACGAAGCCACUCGGGUUAAUAGCCCAGAGGGCGACGGUACCUCCAGAAGAAGCCCCGGCUAACUACGUGCCAGCAGCCGC
Molecule: ribosomal RNA, 506 nt
Filed under: uncultured bacterium
Lineage: Bacteria
Description: SSU rRNA
Rfam family: Bacterial small subunit ribosomal RNA
Source: RNAcentral